GAAGUGCCUGCUGGAGGAGCCACCACCGCAAUCGAACACGCAGCUCGGACUUUUCAGAGGGUCCCUGCAGAGGCACAGAUCCUGUGCUCCAAGAGGACACGGUGCCUGGUGUUAGCCCACGGGCCUGGGAGCCAGGAACCCAGGUCCCUGAAGGAACCAGGACACAAAUACCCAGCAGCUGAUCAACAAGACAAAAGCCAAGGAGUCUCCAAGGACCUCCGUGCUGCAGGGACUUCAGGGAACCUGAUGUGCACACACCCCGCUCCCCAGGAGAUAAGCACCUGGAGCCCACACCUGACUUCCAGAUACCAGCAGUGCCUGAGCUACCCCCUCAGCCUGGGCUGCCUGCAAGAGGGCGGAUUCGCACUUGUGCCUGGAGGGUGCAGCCCUGCA
Molecule: long non-coding RNA, 393 nt
Organism: Sciurus carolinensis (gray squirrel)
Lineage: Eukaryota; Metazoa; Chordata; Mammalia; Rodentia; Sciuridae
Exons: 3
Source: RefSeq, a predicted model, not a curated record